CCUACGGGUGGCAGCAGUGGGGAAUAUUGGGCAAUGGAGGCAACUCUGACCCAGCAACGCCGCGUGAAUGAUGAAGGUCUUCGGAUUGUAAAGUUCUUUUCUAAGGGAAGAAGAAAGUGACGGUACCUUAGGAAUAAGCCUCUGCUAACUACGUGCCAGCAGCCGCGGUAAGACGUAGGAGGCAAGCGUUAGCCGUAAUGACUGGGCGUAAAGGGUGCGUAGGUGGUGUGACAAGUUAGUAGCGAAACUCCGGGGCUCAACUUCGGAACUACUACUAAAACUGUUGGACUGGAGUGCAGGAGGGGCAAUCGGAAUUCCUGGUGUAGCGGUGGAAUGCGUAGAUAUUAGGAGGAACACCAGUGGCGAAGGCGGAUUGCUAGACUGUAACUGACACUGAGGCACGAAAGCGUGGGGAGCAAACAGGAUUAGAUACCCUUGUAGUC
RNAcentral lists this ribosomal RNA (443 nucleotides) under uncultured bacterium. RNAcentral describes it as "partial 16S ribosomal RNA". It matches the Rfam family "Bacterial small subunit ribosomal RNA", at positions 338 to 795 of the family's 1533-position model. The record is from RNAcentral.